This is a non-coding RNA of Suillus paluster, 94 nucleotides long. The record is from the annotation of a RefSeq genome assembly. NCBI's taxonomy places the organism in Eukaryota, Fungi, Basidiomycota, Agaricomycetes, Boletales, Suillaceae.
UCGGAUAUGGUGUAAUGGUUAACAUUGCCGCCUCUCAUAUAUGGGACUCGUAACGUGUUCGCGGCAGCUCGGGGUUCGAUUCCCCGUAUCCGAA